This 484-nucleotide ribosomal RNA is filed under the name uncultured bacterium. RNAcentral describes it as "partial 16S ribosomal RNA". It matches the Rfam family "Bacterial small subunit ribosomal RNA", at positions 30 to 507 of the family's 1533-position model. The record is from RNAcentral.
AUUGAACGCUGGCGGCAGGCCUAACACAUGCAAGUCGAGCGGAUGAAGGGAGCUUGCUCCUGGAUUCAGCGGCGGACGGGUGAGUAAUGCCUAGGAAUCUGCCUGGUAGUGGGGGAUAACGUCCGGAAACGGGCGCUAAUACCGCAUACGUCCUGAGGGAGAAAGUGGGGGAUCUUCGGACCCCACGCUAUCAGAUGAGCCUAGGUCGGAUUAGCUAGUUGGUGGGGUAAAGGCCUACCAAGGCGACGAUCCGUAACUGGUCUGAGAGGAUGAUCAGUCACACUGGAACUGAGACACGGUCCAGACUCCUACGGGAGGCAGCGGUGGGGAAUAUUGGACAAAGGGCGAAAGCCUGAUCCAGCCAUGCCGCGUGUGUGAAGAAGGUCUUCGGAUUGUAAAGCACUUUAAGUUGGGAGGAAGGGCAGUAAGUUAAUACCUUGCUGUUUUGACGUUACCAACAGAAUAAGCACCGGCUAACUUCGUG